GUGCUCGCUUUAGCAGCAUAUAUACCAAAAUUGGAAUAAUACAGAGAAGAUUAGCAUGGCCCUGUUCAAGGAUGACGUGCAAAUUCGUGAAGUGUUCCAUAUUUGG
RNAcentral lists this small nuclear RNA (106 nucleotides) under Balaenoptera musculus (blue whale). Lineage: Eukaryota; Metazoa; Chordata; Mammalia; Artiodactyla; Balaenopteridae. The record is from RNAcentral.